AUUUGGAAAGUCAAAAUGCCUUUGAAGAUCAAGAUCUUCUUAUGGUUAAUGAUCAAAAACAUUGCCCUGACCAAAGGCAAUUUGCUCCAGAGGGGAUGGACUGGGAAUAGUCAAUGUUCGUUUUGUGGUCAUGAUGAAACUACUAAGCAUCUAUUAUUUUAUUGUAAUAUGCCAAAGUUCUCCUGGAGCUUAGUCCUCAGUUCCUUUGGCUUAGUCAAGCCCUCUCGAGACGUUGAUGACCUGGUGGGCCCCUCUGGAUAA
RNAcentral lists this ribosomal RNA (261 nucleotides) under Triticum aestivum (bread wheat). Its description in RNAcentral is "partial small subunit ribosomal RNA". Lineage: Eukaryota; Viridiplantae; Streptophyta; Magnoliopsida; Poales; Poaceae. The record is from RNAcentral.